CUGGAGUGAGAUGAAAUCUUAGAGUAGUUUUGAUUUGUAUUCUCUAAUUGCUAGAGAUUAUUUUUUCAUUUAUUUGUUGAUUGAUUAUAUAUCUUCUUCUGAGAAGUAUCUGUUCAGCUCCUUGCCCACUUAUUGGGUUAUUUAUAUUUUUGAUGUUAAAUUUUUUGAGCUGUUUUUAUAUCCUGGAGAUUAGCAUUCUAUUUGAUAUGUGUGUGGUAAAAAUUUGCUCCCAUUCUGUAUCUCUCUCUUCACAUUGUUGAUUGUUUCCUUUGCUGAAAAGAAGCUUUCAGUUUCUACAAUUCCCAUUUAUUGAUUCUUGAUUUUAUUUCUUGCGUUUCAGAAGUUUUAUUAAGGAAGUCAAGAGCUAAUCUAACAUAAUAAAAAUCUGGGCCUACUUUUUCUUCUGUUAGGCAUAGGGUCUCUGGUUUAAUUCCUAGGUCUUUGAUCCACUUUGAGUUGAGUGUUGUGUAUGGUGUGAGAUAGAGGCUUAAUUUCAUUGUGCUGCAUAUGGCUUUCCAGUUUUCCCAGCGCCAUUUGUUGAAGAGGCUAUCUUUUUUUUCUCCAAUGUAUGUUUUUGGUGCCUUUGUCUAGUAUGAGAUAACUAUAUUUACAUUGGUUUGUCUCUGUGUACAAUAUUCUUUACCAUUGGUUGGACAUUUUUUUGAUCCAGUUUAGUUGGCUAUUUGAUAUUUGUAUGUGAGUAAAUUCCUUUGUUUCCUACCAUGUUUUGAAUAUGUCCCCUACAAAAUUCAGGUGUUGAGACACAAAAGCAAGUAUAGCAGUAUAAAGAGGAAGAACUUUAAAGAGAUGAGUAGAUCAUGGGGACCCACCCCUUGUGAGUGGGAUUAGGUAUCCUUACAAAGGGCUUGGCUGAGAGAGUUCAUUUCUUUUGCCCUUCCUCCUUCUGCUAUAUAGAGACACAUCCCUCAACAGACAACCUAAUCUGCCAGUACUUUGAUCUUGUAUUCCCCAGCCUCCAGAACCAUGAGAAAAUAAAUGUCUGUUCUUUAUAAGCUGCCUAGUCUGUGAUAUUCUGUUAUAGCAACACAAAACAAAUUAAUACAUAAUCUCCCCCAUCAGAGUCAUUACAGGAUGUUUCUGUGGAAAAUUCUUUGGGGUUGUAAUACCUGCCUGAGAUCAUUGGGGAUUGAGGGUGACACCAGAGAAUAAAG
RNAcentral lists this long non-coding RNA (1172 nucleotides) under Marmota monax (woodchuck). The record is from RNAcentral. Lineage: Eukaryota; Metazoa; Chordata; Mammalia; Rodentia; Sciuridae.